Molecule: ribosomal RNA, 1206 nt
Filed under: Triticum aestivum (bread wheat)
Lineage: Eukaryota; Viridiplantae; Streptophyta; Magnoliopsida; Poales; Poaceae
Description: partial small subunit ribosomal RNA
Source: RNAcentral
AUGGAGUGCGCAGACUUUAGAGUUGCGCUCGGCUUCGAGAGAGCCAUUCGACGCGACCGUCCGUACGGCGGGUACCCACGCCUCCCGAGCGAGGGCUCGCCGCAGAUGGCCUUCUUCGACGCGGCCUUCCAGGGCGACCUUCCCCGCCUCAGGGAGCUGGCGAGCGGCAGGGACGCCAAGGGGAUGGCCUGGCUUGCCGAUGUGUGUCUCGUCGGCGCGGGCCCUUUCCAGACCGCGGCACGCUUGGGGAAACUGGACGCCGUCAGGUGCAUGGUGGAGGAGCUGGGCUUCGAUGUCAAUGCUGGCAGCCAAGCCGGUGUAACUGCUUUGGCUGCUGCUGCAGCGGAUGGAAGAAUGCAUGUUAUGAGGUACCUUCUGGACAAGGGGGGCGAUCCGAAUAAGCCAGCCAAUUCAGGCCAUUAUCCUCUUCAGCAUGCUGCAAAACAUGGGCGUGAUGAAGCAGCACAAUUGUUGCUAUCUAGAGGAGCUAGUAUUGAUGUAGCUUAUAUUGGUCUGACACCACUACAUUUCGCUGCUGGCUAUGGGAUGAUUGGUGUCAUGAAAGUUCUGUUGGAGCACCAUGCAGAUCCGAACAAGGUCUCAGAAGAGGGAAGUACUCCGCUGACUGAAGCACUUCAUGGUACCGAUUCAGGAGUACCUGAAUCUACUUCACUGAAGUGUGUCAAGCUGCUUGUGGAGGCAGGCGCAGAUGUAAAUUCUGCUAAUAGUGAAACUCCGUUGGUAAUAGCAAAACGUUAUGGCUUAACUGAUUGUGUCAAGUACCUGUCAAAGGUUAAGCAUGAAAAAAAUACAAAUCUUCAGUUGAAAUCAUAUGCCGAGAAAGCUAUUAAGAGAAAGGACUACCAUGGCGCGUCAAAGUUCUACACCGAGGCGAUUGAGCUGGACCCUAGUGAUGCAACUCUGUACUCAAACAGGAGCCUUUGCUACCUGCAAAUGACUGAAGCAGAUAAGGCUGUGCGCGAUGCUAACACUUGCAUAAAACUGCGGCCCGAAUGGAUCAAAGGUUACUACAGGAAAGGCGCUGCUCUCCUGUCGCUCGAGGACUACAAAGGAGCUAGUGAUGCAUUCAUGGCUGGGCUGCAGGUGGACCCUGAAAAUGUUGAGAUGGAGAAAGCGUUCAUGGAAGCAAUUGAGGGAAUUAAGAAGGACCACUUGGCUGGAAAAGGCUCCAAGCCAUCUGAUUAG